AGAAACUUGGCCCAAUACUUAGUCUUUCUCCUGUUUCCUCUGUGGCUCUGUCCGCCUCGCUGCGCUUCCGGCUUCGCUGAGGCUGACUCGCAACUUUGCGAGCGACCGAGACCCCCGAGCGACAAGCGCGACCGCAAGGACGCCCGACGUCGACAGUCCGAGGUGGAGCCGCUGCCCGCCGGCCCAGGCCUCCCGUUCAGCCGUCCGGCGCGUCCGCUCCCACAGACCCGUACAGGCACAGGCGCACAGCGGCUCCCGCGGCUCGCGGCCCUCGCGCGCGCGUCCGCUCCACUCGACGGCUCGACCUCCGACGCCGACGGUGGACAACUCCGCCACUCCGCCAGCGGGCACAGGCAGCGCUGCUGCGGCAGCGGCCACGGCCCACAGGCCACAGCCAAUCCGGGUGAAUUUUGGUAAGUUUGAUUUUUUUUUUCUUCCAGAUGGUUUAGGGAUUUGAUUUUCUUCUAGAUCUAUGAUUCUGUGAGAUUGUGAGGUGUGAACCAAGAAUUGAAUCAAUUUAUUAAUAUGUUUUUAAGAAGUUGAGGCAUGAAGAAAUCAAAUAUAGCAGUUCUAAAAAAAUUGCAACUCAUAUCUCCACCAACACCAAUUUUAGUUAUUGAUGAAGAGCUCUCUAUUCCUAUUGUAGAAAAUUUGCUUAUUUUAUAGUCAUUUUACCGAAUUUUUUCUUUGAAAUUUGUCGUGUUACGCAUGAAAAAACAUUUUUAGGACUACCUUGGUUCCAAUUUCUGGGUCCACCACUGUAUAAACAUAGGAUUUUACUUUUACUGGUCUAAGUUGAGUAGAGAAGUAAUUGACUGGAUUUAGGAUAGAUAGCCGACUAUGAAGAGGGGAAAUCACGGUCAUCUCUCGAAUCAAGUGCUACUAGGUCCAUAUCUUGAGCAUAUGCAUUAGAAUCUAGUAAAGUGCUAACCUAACUUCUUUGAUGAAAAUGUUUGUGAAAAGCUAACACACAUGCACUUUAGUGGUGGCACUUAUUGGUGUUAGCAACAUUUGCAAAGGAGGUGGAGUUCCUAGGAUUGAGAGGGGUUUGGGUUUCUCUCUCUCCCUCCCGCCGAGCUUGCUCGGCGGUAUUCGGCGCUUUUGAGAAAAUUAAGUAUAUAUUUUCUAUUGCGUCGGUGGAAAAUUUGGAGAAGUCAUGGGUCGCUGAGAAACACUCAUCAGACGCAGUGUGUGGAGGCACCGGACGCUGGCUUUAGCAUCUGGUGUGCUGUCAGCGCUUGGCUCUAUUAGGGUUGAGCACCGGACGCACUGCACUAGACGCAGGAUGUUCCCUGUUCAUGCGUCUGGUGUGGCCUGACUUCAGCAGAGGGUGUCUGACUGAGAGCACUGGACGCUCGGAGUGCGUCCGGUGGUGUGAGUCCGGUGUGGGGACGUUUUGCAGACCUCUCUAUGCACGAGUUCGGUGAGUACCGGACGCGUCCGGUGAGGUCGUGAGUUUGCAGACCUCUCUACGCACGGGACUGGUGAGUACCGGACGCGUCCGGUGCUCAUUUGGUCGCGUCUGGUGGUCCGCAGGUGACCGUUAGAGUUUGACGCGCGAGUUUCAAAGAUGGACACGUGGCUAACAUUAGUGCACCGGACGCAGGGGGUCGAGCGUCCGGUGGUUCCCUAAUACGCGUCUGGUGCCCCUGAGAUUUGUCCAGUGACAGAGCCAACGGCUCUAUCUCUUUGAGGGGCUUAUAAAUAGAAGGUGGCCGGCUUUAGAGGGUUUUCUCUUGCACAUUUGAUUACUUGAGGCAUACAUUGAGCUAGAGAACACUCUCUCCACUCAUCUCUUUGCUUGAUUGCUAUUCUUAGUGAGAUUGAGUGAAAUUCAAGUGCAUUGCAUUGAGAGUUGCAUCUAGUGGCACUUGAUCCUUGAGUUUGCUACGGAUUUCUUGUUACUCUUGGGUGUUUCCUGAUGCUCUAGAUGGCUUGGAGUAGCGGUGGUGUUGAGCUCGUGAUUGGAGAUUGUUUCGAGCCUCACCAAGUGAUUUGUGAGGGGUUUUUGAGCCUUCCCCGUGGGAGAUCAUAAUUGGCUACUCUAGUGGAUUUCUCGUGGCUUGGAGGAUCCCCAUCUUGUGAGUGGAUGUGCGGCACCCGCUGAGGGUUUGGCUUUGAAUUGCCAAUUAGCUCGUGAUCUAUCAAGUGAGUGUAUCACCACAACGAGAACUAGCUUGCCGGGAAGCAAGUGAACCUCGGUAAAAAAUCCUGUGUCGUCUCAUGUCGAGGAUUUUCUAUUGUGAUUGUGAUUGUGAGUGAUUGAUUGCAUAUAUCUCUACUCUACAACGUUGGUAUAACAAUCACUCUCUACUUCUUUACUUACUUGCAUACCUUACUAGUUGUUUAGCUUGUUUAGCAUAGUCUUCUUGUUUAGGAGUAUAGCUAGCCUUCUCUUGUUGUUGUGGUUUAGUGUUUAGUCUUGUACUAGACUUUAGGUGGCUUUAGCUUAGUUGAGCUAGUGCUAGAAUAGUUUCGCCUUUUGUUUUACUAAUCAACUUGUUUAGUUGUAGUUUGUAGAAAAUUUAAAUAGGCUAUUCAUCCCCCCUAGCCAUUUGGACCUUUCAUCUUUGCCGACUCAAAAUUUUUCGAGAGCUCUUUACCGAGAGCCGCUCUCGGCAAAGCCUUGCCGAGGAUUUUUGGGUCUUUGUCGGGGGCUUGGGGCCCUCAACAAAGAGGGCGCGUCCAGUAGUGUUACACGGUUCAGGUCUAUAUGACUCUAAAAAUUUAAUGAGCUUUGUUUUGUUUGGAUUAAAUAUUACUUUAAUAUUAGUAUUGUUAUUUUAUCAUGCGACCUAUUUGUUUUUAUAUAAAAAAAUUAGUUGUCUUAUAUCAACGCACAGGCAUACCUAUCUAGUACAGUUUGAUGCCUUAGGUCCUGCCUAUUGCUUUUUUGAACACAAAUAAUCGACACCCAGUAUGCAAUGUAACCAAACUCAUCUCAUCAAUUAUAGAUGCAUGUAUGCCACAGAUAAUGAUGUGGUGAUAAACAUACAUGGAAGUGUCAUUGAAAGAACAAUUAUUAUUCCCUCUCGCGCUUGGCUAUUAUUGAACUGGGCCUCCACCGAAGGCAUCCAUGGCCAUAUGGGUAAUGGGUGCGUGUCAAGAAUUAUUUCUCAGAAAAAAAACAAAAGUGUAAGAAUUGGAUGCAAGUAGGUCAGCUUCAGCUCCACGGAAGCCACGAGCCCACAACUUUACUUUGAGCCAAGCCAAGAAGCUUGAUUUUGCUACGCCUACAUUUGUGAGUUGCAUUGCCUAUUCCCAGUCAGAUACAUCCAUCAUAUACGGAGUACUAAUGGGGGAAAAAAAACGUUGCUUGAGAACUUGGCUACAAGCAUUAGUUCCAUAUACGAUCCGGUUGAAAGAAAAAUCAGAUGCUACGGAUAUUGACAUGACAUCCCACCCAACAAUACAUGAGCACUAACACGUAAGAACAAAUCAAGCAUAUAUGCUUCCUCUGUCUAAGUAAAAGUGUUGUUUUAUUAGCAUUCAAAUAUUAUCUCAAUAAAAAUGUCGUUUUAGGUACAGACCUACUCCUAGGAGCAACACCAGUCUUCAACAUACGAAAGAGAAGCGCAAGAGAGGAUGGAGUAUAUAUGAUUUUAAUUAAUGAGGAUGGAGUAAUACCUAGGAGUAACCGUGUUCAUCCUAAAACGACUUUAAUUCAGAGAUAAAGUGAGUAUGAGAGUUGCCUAUUUAACGACAAAAGUGAACAUUUGGUAUUGCAUAAUGCAUACUAUGGCUACAACUACUUUUUUUAUAAAGAGAUAUGUCUCAAAAAAACAAAGGUUGAUAUGACUGAUGGACAAAAGACAUAAAACGAUCUGUACAAAAUAAAAGUAUAUCAAAGAUCAAAUUGGUCAUCUUCCACCUUCAAACAUUCACUGCUGGAAUUUAAAGAUCCACACUGUGAACACAGCAAGAAAAGAAAUACCUGCAAACACCCUCACAAACAAGGCUCUGAAGAGCGAAAUAGCCACUUGCUGCUGACAGCGAGAUCUAGUAUAGUAUCUCUUGAAAGAACAUCAGCUAGAGGAAACCUCCAAGAAAUGCAGGCUUACCAGACCAAAAGAAGAGGUUGAGAUCGUCGUAUGCAAAGGCAACCAACUGCCCCCUCUAAAAAAACAUACCAAAUGUCAAGAUCUAACAACAGAUCUAACAAGUCAGACUCUCCCUAACCCUUCGCUGAUACCAAAUCAAACGUUGUCAAGGUAGAGAGAGGCCGAAGAGAUAUUAUUCCAAAGUAUCAUCAUUGUCACCACCUCGUUGAUGACACUAGAAACUAUAACCUAGAUCACAAGGAUUCACAAACCUAAUCAAGAACUACGAAGAAGGAAAACGGGUCUCCAAUCCUGUAUCCACUAGCGAGAUCAUGAGAGAAGAGGGACCGAGGUAUGUCCUGGCUGUGGGCGGCGGGGACGGCGUAUGGGAAGUGCUAGGGCAGAUGCGACUCUGGAGGGAACGUAAUGCCACC
This 4474-nucleotide long non-coding RNA is filed under the name Sorghum bicolor (sorghum). RNAcentral's name for it is "long non-coding RNA (SBIC_LNC003343)". The record is from RNAcentral. Lineage: Eukaryota; Viridiplantae; Streptophyta; Magnoliopsida; Poales; Poaceae.